AUUGAACGCUGGCGGCAGGCCUAACACAUGCAAGUCGAGCGGAGCGGCGGACGGGUGAGUAAUGCCUAGGAAUCUGCAUGGUAGUGGGGGACAACGAACGGAAACGGGCGCUAAUACCGCAUACUAUCAACUGAGCCUAGGUCGGAUUAGCUAGUUGGUGGGGUAAAGGCCUAUCAAGGCGACGAUCCGUAACUGGUCUGAGAGGAUGAUCAGUCAAACUGGAACUGAGACACGGUCCAGACUCCUCCGGGAGGCAGCAGUAGGGAAUAUUGCACAAUGGGCGCAAGCCUUAUGCAGCCAUGCCGCGUGUGUGAAGAAGGCCUUCGGGUGGUAAAGCACUUUCAGCGGGGAGGCGUUACCCGCAGAAGAAGCACCGGCUAACUCCGUGCCAGCCGCCGCGGUAAUUC
RNAcentral lists this ribosomal RNA (407 nucleotides) under uncultured bacterium. Its description in RNAcentral is "partial 16S ribosomal RNA". It matches the Rfam family "Bacterial small subunit ribosomal RNA", at positions 30 to 526 of the family's 1533-position model. The record is from RNAcentral.